AACCUUGUAGUUUCGUUGUG
This 20-nucleotide microRNA is filed under the name Schistosoma japonicum. RNAcentral's name for it is "sja-miR-3501". Lineage: Eukaryota; Metazoa; Platyhelminthes; Trematoda; Strigeidida; Schistosomatidae. The record is from miRBase by way of RNAcentral.